CACGUAGUCAGCCGGGGCUUCCUCCAAGGGUAAUGUCAUUUGUUUCUUCCCCUAGGACAGAAGUUUACAACCCGAAGGCCUUCUUCCUUCACGCGGCGUUGCUGCAUCAGGGUUUCCCCCAUUGUGCAAUAUUCCCCACUGCUGCCUCCCGUAGGAGUUUGGACCGUGUCUCAGUUCCAAUGUGGCCGAUCACCCUCUCAGGUCGGCUACUGAUCGUUGCCUUGGUAAGCCGUUACCCUACAACUAGCUAAUCAGACGCAGGCCCAUCCCAUACCGAUAAAUCUUUGACAAGUGAUACAUGUGUAUCUCUUGCAUCAUGGGGUAUUAAUCACCUUUUCGGGUGGCUAUCCCCCUGUACAGGGCAGGUUGCCUACGCGUUACUCACCGUCCGCCGCUUUCCAUAUGAAAAUCUACCGAAGCUUCAUUUCUUUACUUCUCGCUCGACUUGCAUGUGUUAGGCUACGCCGCCAGCGUUCAUCCUGAGCCAGGAUCAAACUCU
Molecule: ribosomal RNA, 499 nt
Filed under: uncultured bacterium
Lineage: Bacteria
Description: partial 16S ribosomal RNA
Source: RNAcentral